UAAAACUAGAGGAGGUCAGUAACUUUUGCACUUGCUUAAUGAGGAAAAUGAAUAUUACAGAUACGCCCCUGAUCGGAAAACUGCUCAUUACCAUGAACAUGCGAUGUAUGAUCUGGGAGGUAACAUGGGCGGGACGGAAGUUUGUGCACCUCAGCGCUAUGAUUGGAAGGGGCCAGAAGGGGAGGGG
Long non-coding RNA from Amblyraja radiata (thorny skate), 187 nucleotides. RefSeq lists it as uncharacterized. The transcript has 3 exons. Lineage: Eukaryota; Metazoa; Chordata; Chondrichthyes; Rajiformes; Rajidae. The record is from RefSeq and is a predicted model, not a curated record.